UAUAAUGCCCCUGUUUCUGCUCCCUUGCUUAGAUGAAUCUUCUCUUAGGCCAAAGGGGAAGACGUGUUUAUACAUCACAGAGACAGAUGCUAUCAUCCUUGAAGACAAUAAUUUGUCCUGGCUAUAGAAAAUUAGCUCUCAUUGGUCACUGUGGGAGUGGACACAGAUGUUUUGUAUUAUGGUGUUCAAAGUCACACUAGUUAUUAGAGUCAUAAAGUGGCAUGAUUUUUCUGAACCCUUGAAAAAUGCUGAUAAGCUGACUGCACUGGCAAGAAUACAAUAUUAAUCACAGUAGAGCUGUAAGUACAAAUGUAAGAUGUUUCAGCUAAGCAGAAAGGAUAAUCUCUCACACCUAAGGCACUAAUGGGGUGGGUGACCAUCAAAGUGGAUGACCAACUUUGUAUGGUGAUGCACAGGUACCCUAUGAUGGUGCAUAGUCCAGAGCAACUGAGCUUGUUACAGUUUUGCAGAUUGUGUUGAAAGUGUCAGAAGACCUUGAUAAUGACAGCAAUACUUCCACAUAUGGAUUUUCAUUAUGAAGCUCUACAUUGCUCUUGUCUGAAGCAAGGUCUCCUACCAGGCCCUAUCCUGCUGCCCAAAGUCUGAACAGCAACUCAUAUAUGACAAAUGUACCUUACUGAGCAGAUUUCUUAAAGAUCAUCAGCUUUGUGGUUUAACUCUGAACAUACCCAGAUGGUGUCUGAUGCCCCUUGGAUCAUCAGUAGCGUAUGUUGAUUUCCAGAACCAACUCCUGUGAAAGGAGCUCAGCGCCUGGCAGGAUGGUGAUCAAUACAGCCAACAUGAAGCUUUGGAGGUGCACAGGCCAAUUGCUGGCUUUGUGUACCAGAAUUAAUGAUAUCCUUGGAGAUGGUGCAUUUGAAUACAUAGUGCCAGAGGCACUGUGGAGUGGCUGGCAUUGAGUACUUGGUGCCAAACAGUGAAUCGUCCUUGAGUCCCAUUGACAUCAAUGGAAAUUAAGAAUCCUCAACAUCUGGCAGGAUUUAACUCAAAAUGAAGUUCAUUCUGGUGUAUUUCUUCUGUGAAUUUAAAUUAGUUAUAUACACAUGGAUGGCACAGUGCUUUCAUUUAAAACAUUGUGAACAAGGAAAUAAGAAGCUAUGGGGUGAAGACUAUAUUUAUAACACCAGUGUGAAAGACAAAUGAGAAGUAAUUUUUCAUUGGUUGGGUGGGGUGUAUUUAUCUGUUGGAUGCCAGAUUACUUUUCCUUCCAAUCAAUACCAGGUCUGUUGCUGCAGAUACCCAUUAUUAUUUUUUUUGUGUGUGUGUAUUCAAUGGGAUGGACAAAGCUUUCCAAUUCUGAAACCAGUGGCUUCUUCAUAAGACACAAUCUCUGGAAAAUGUCAAU
Molecule: long non-coding RNA, 1366 nt
Organism: Oxyura jamaicensis (ruddy duck)
Lineage: Eukaryota; Metazoa; Chordata; Aves; Anseriformes; Anatidae
Exons: 5
Source: RefSeq, a predicted model, not a curated record